This is a long non-coding RNA of Phyllostomus discolor (pale spear-nosed bat), 2023 nucleotides long. RefSeq lists it as uncharacterized. The transcript has 2 exons. The record is from RefSeq and is a predicted model, not a curated record. NCBI's taxonomy places the organism in Eukaryota, Metazoa, Chordata, Mammalia, Chiroptera, Phyllostomidae.
CAAUUAUUUUGACCUAAGUCCAUUAGCCAGGCUGCCCCAGUAUUAAGGAACAUUUUUUUUCCAGUAAUUUUAAGCCAAAUACAAUAAUUUCUGGGGCUAGGUGAAGAUACAGGGAAAAGAAAAAGGGGUUAUAAGAAAGCAAACUUGCAGAAAGAAACAUAAAAAAAUUCAGUACUUCCUGAAAUACACCUGAAAGCAUGACACCCAUUAUUUAUAUUGGCAGUGCUUUCCUUACAAUCGUCACCUUUUUCGGCACUCACCUCUAACCCUUCCAUUUCUGAAACAUUCCUAGGUAGACUUGAAAGAAGCCAUUAGAAGCCUAUCUGCCCAGAAGCCCUGAAGAAACUAUAGCUGCCAAGUGUCCUUACUGUUUACAUAAGAGCAAUCCGAGGUAUCAACCAGCAGGAUGGCAGAAAUUGUUCUGUCGGGAAAAGGAAAGCAGAAUUUAUCCUAACUGAAUAUUUCUAUGAAACAGGUUAUAAGGAAUUCUGGUUCUGCAGUCAAGUACACAUCCCCCACGUGUAUGCGUAUUUCUCCCUACAAACAUGAAUAUUCAGAAAUACAAUUCCACUACAUGGGAACAACCUAAGCAAAUUACUGAAACAUUAGGAAGACCAGAAAAAUGCUUUAAUGUAAUCCAAGUGCUCACACAGCCAUGAACAGUUUGCAUCAAAUAGUCGAGGGAAAAAGAUUAAACUGCAUUUCAUUUACUUGUUAUCAUCUGUGACUGAGUUGUUUGAUCUGUGUUAGUUACCAUGUUAAAGGCCAAAAGUUGUUAUGGAACUAUUCUUUAAUGUAACUCUUGCUAACAUCUGAAGUGUUUUCUAAAUGAUUUUCUUUUUGUUUUUUAAUUCGUUGUAAUCUGAGGCUGAGAACAGAGAAUGUGCAUUGUUUUACAGAAGUGUUCUCCAGGAUUAUUGAGAUAGUCUCUCUACUCCUUGAGCACCUGGAAGUUAUAUUUUUAUUAUUUUCAGUGGGAUUCUUUUUUCCUCACCACUUCCCAAUACUGCCAGUAUUCUUGCUGCUGACAAACAUUUCAUUUUCUAAUCCAUCAUGAUCUGGGAAGCCAACUAUUUGUAUAAAGUGUGCCUAAAUUAAGAAUAUGAGUUCUAUUCUGAGUGAAGAUACAAGGGACUCAUAAUAGUAAAAAGUAUUAGACUAAAAUGCAAAGCUUUUUGUGGUACCUAAAUUUUUGCUUAAAUCAAAAUCUACAUUUGCAUCUAUUGAAAUGUAUACCUACAUUUAAUUUUAGCUGCUUUUUGUUUGUUUUCUCAUCUUUCUAGGUUCCUGGGUGUGUCCAGAACAUUAUAUUGAUGAAAUAUGUACGCAUGAUACAUUACUGCAAUAUUUGCCUACAAGAUAGCACCCUCUACAACAAAAGAUUGACAUUUAAGAGUUAUAUGGAGGGUGUUCUGAUUAGAGGAGGCCUAGGGGCAAGUUUCUUCGGUGAUGUCACAUCUGCUUUUAUCCCACGGCAACUGCCUCUGACAUACCGCCCAUGCUUGACCCAAGCAAGAUCAAGGUCGUGUAUCUGAGGUGCACUGGUGUGGAAACUGGUGCUACAGAUCCCUGGACCCCAAAUUUGGGCCCCUGGGUCUGUUUCCAAAAGAGGCUGGUGAUGACAUUGUCAAGGCCACUGGUGACUAAAGGGUCACGCUUAUAAUGAAACCAACCAUUCAGAACAGACAGGCCCAGACUGAAGUGGCACCUUCCACUGCUGCCUUGCUCAUCCAAACCCUAAAGGAACCACUCUGAGAUGGAAAGAACAAUAGGAAGCACAGAGAUCCUAACAGCACUUUUGAUGAGAUUGUCAACACUGCCUGGCAGAUGCAGCACCAACCUUUGGCCAGGGAACUCUCUGGAACCAUUCAAGAGAUCCUGGGGACUUCCCAGUUUGUGGGCUGCCAAGUUGAUGGCUGCCACCCCUGUGACACCAUCGAUGACAUCAGCAGUGGUGCAGUAGAAUGUCCAGCUAGUUAAGAACUACAAAGGAAAACAUUUUGAUAAAGGAUAAUUUUACAAC